RNAcentral lists this ribosomal RNA (253 nucleotides) under uncultured bacterium. RNAcentral describes it as "partial 16S ribosomal RNA". It matches the Rfam family "Bacterial small subunit ribosomal RNA", at positions 524 to 776 of the family's 1533-position model. The record is from RNAcentral.
UACGUAGGAGGCAAGCGUUGUCCGGAAUUACUGGGUGUAGAGCGCGUGUAGGUGGCAGGCCAAGUCUGUUGUGAAAUCGCCCGGCUCAACUGGGCGCGGUCAAUGGAAACUGGUCAGCUGGAGGACGGUAGAGGCGAGUGGAAUUCCCGGUGUAGUGGUGAAAUGCGCAGAUAUCAGGAAGAACACCCGUGGCGAAGGCGGCUCUCUGGGACGGUACUGACGCUGAGACGCGAAAGCGUGGGGAGCAAACAGG